GACGAAGGUGGCGAGCGUUACUCGGAUUUACUAGGUGUAAAGCGUGGGCAGGUGGUUCGGUGAGUCUGUUGUGAAAGCUCCUGGCUUAACUGGGAGAGGCCAAUGGAUACUGCCGGGCUUGGAUAUGGGAGAGGUGACUGGAAUUCCUGGUGUAGCGGUGAAAUGCGUAGAGAUCAGGAGGAACAUCAAUGGCGAAAGCAGGUCACUGGACCAUUAUCGACACUCAUCCACGAAAGCUGGGGGAUCAAACAGG
This 253-nucleotide ribosomal RNA is filed under the name uncultured bacterium. RNAcentral describes it as "partial 16S ribosomal RNA". It matches the Rfam family "Bacterial small subunit ribosomal RNA", at positions 524 to 776 of the family's 1533-position model. The record is from RNAcentral.